CAUGCAAGUCGAGGGGCAGCAUGGUCUCUUCUUGCUAAGACUGAUGGCGACCGGCGCACGGGUGAGUAACACGUAUCCAACCUGCCGUCUACUCUUGGACAGCCUUCUGAAAGGAAGAUUAAUACAAGAUGGCAUCAUGAGUCCGCAUGUUCACAUGAUUAAAGGUAUUCCGGUAGACGAUGGGGAUGCGUUCCAUUAGAUAGUAGGCGGGGUAACGGCCCACCUAGUCUUCGAUGGAUAGGGGUUCUGAGAGGAAGGUCCCCCACAUUGGAACUGAGACACGGUCCAAACUCCUACGGGAGGCAGCAGUGAGGAAUAUUGGUCAAUGGGCGAGAGCCUGAACCAGCCAAGUAGCGUGAAGGAUGACUGCCCUAUGGGUUGUAAACUUCUUUUAUAAAGGAAUAAAGUCGGGUAUGCAUACCCGUUUGCAUGUACUUUAUGAAUAAGGAUCGGCUAACUCCGUGCCAGCAGCCGCGGUAAUACGGAGGAUCCGAGCGUUAUCCGGAUUUAUUGGGUUUAAAGGGAGCGUAGAUGGAUGUUUAAGUCAGUUGUGAAAGUUUGCGGCUCAACCGUAAAAUUGCAGUUGAUACUGGAUAUCUUGAGUGCAGUUGAGGCAGGCGGAAUUCGUGGUGUAGCGGUGAAAUGCUUAGAUAUCACGAAGAACUCCGAUUGCGAAGGCAGCCUGCUAAGCUGCAACUGACAUUGAGGCUCGAAAGUGUGGGUAUCAAACAGGAUUAGAUACCCUGGUAGUCCACACGGUAAACGAUGAAUACUCGCUGUUUGCGAUAUACUGCAAGCGGCCAAGCGAAAGCGUUAAGUAUUCCACCUGGGGAGUACGCCGGCAACGGUGAAACUCAAAGGAAUUGACGGGGGCCCGCACAAGCGGAGGAACAUGUGGUUUAAUUCGAUGAUACGCGAGGAACCUUACCCGGGCUUAAAUUGCAGAUGAAUUACGGUGAAAGCCGUAAGCCGCAAGGCAUCUGUGAAGGUGCUGCAUGGUUGUCGUCAGCUCGUGCCGUGAGGUGUCGGCUUAAGUGCCAUAACGAGCGCAACCCUUGUUGUCAGUUACUAACAGGUUCCGCUGAGGACUCUGACAAGACUGCCAUCGUAAGAUGUGAGGAAGGUGGGGAUGACGUCAAAUCAGCACGGCCCUUACGUCCGGGGCUACACACGUGUUACAAUGGGGGGUACAGAGGGCCGCUACCACGCGAGUGGAUGCCAAUCCCCAAAACCUCUCUCAGUUCGGACUGGAGUCUGCAACCCGACUCCACGAAGCUGGAUUCGCUAGUAAUCGCGCAUCAGCCACGGCGCGGUGAAUACGUUCCCGGGCCUUGUACACACCGCCCGUCAAGCCAUGGGAGCCGGGGGUACCUGAAGUGCGUAAGCGCGAGGAGCGCCCUAGGGUAAAACUGGUGACUGGC
Molecule: ribosomal RNA, 1421 nt
Filed under: uncultured organism
Description: SSU rRNA
Rfam family: Bacterial small subunit ribosomal RNA
Source: RNAcentral